RNAcentral lists this long non-coding RNA (1108 nucleotides) under Equus caballus (horse). Its description in RNAcentral is "lncRNA (ENSECAG00000057319.1)". The record is from RNAcentral. Lineage: Eukaryota; Metazoa; Chordata; Mammalia; Perissodactyla; Equidae.
CCUCGGCAGGGCUGGCUCCUCGCCUCUCCACGCCAGGCUGUUCACGUCCCUUCCGUUCCCAAGUGCUUGUGUGCUCACUCACUUGCACCGUCCUGCAGUGGCCCACGAGGCAGGCCAGCGUGUGUAUUAGGGAGCGCUCCCUGGGAAUGUGACUUUCCCAAGGUCACCUGGAUAGGCUGUCUCCUCCUCUGAGGUCCCCACCUCCAAACCCCACUUUCCCCACAUGUGGCCUGAACAGACCAUCACAAAGCUUUAGAGGCUUCUUCCGAGGACACCAGGCAUUGGCUCUGGGUCAGUGGAGCUUCCAGAACCUUGGAAUUCUGCCCUGGGCCACGUGUCUGGAACUUGCCCAUCUCCUGGUGGUUGGCAGAUCUGAUGCAGGCCUGAGAACGUCUUCACACGGUGGAGGAGGCUUUUGGGGUGACUGACCACUGGGCUGGACAUUGCCCCAGGUGUGGUUCCCGUGGAAGUGGUGAGUCACAGCCGUGGUUGCUGGCCUGCUGCUGUACCCAUCUGCCUGUCUGCAGGCGUCUCACUUCCUCCUGAGAUGGAGAGAGACAAGGGCCCUGGGUGCUGGGGCACCAGCUGCUUCGGCCCUGCCUGGUUACUUCAUCUUCCUCAACUCACUUUGCUGUUCACCACCCAUCACCGUUACCACCUGGAAUCACCCGGAGAAGAGUGGAAGGAAACGUGAAAAGUAUGUGUGUCAUCACGUCAGGCUCUGGGGCUGCCCAGGGCCUCUUGGUGAUGGAAGUGGAAUUGCCUGGAUGUCAUUCUGUACUUAGCUACAAAGAAAAAAAGAACCCUGGAAUGUUCCAGAGAAGAGGGGCACAUCUCACUGAGAUGAAGAUUACGGCAUCCUCGCUGAGAAGGAAUCUCCAGGGAUGGAUGACUGGAGAAUCAGAAGUAGGGAGAGCUGGGGACUUACUUGUCCUUCUUGGCGGCUGAUCUUUAAGUGUGUUUGGCUUGUGUUUCUGGAGAGUAAGACAUAAGAAGAAAGGAGGGGAGGGAGAGUUAGUUCUUGAGAGAACUAGAGGCUCGAGCAAUCACUCUUGAGCUGUUGAUGCUGCGGGCCGUUUCUUUACAGUUAGUCCAUAAGAGAAGCCGG